CCAAAAACUGGUAAAGUAACUUCUAUGAAGUUUUUACAAAAUGCUUUUGACUGGUUGUCAGCUCUCCCGGGAUAUGCUGGUUGUCUGAAAAACAGAGGACGUCUGGCAGAAGUGGCUUAAACUCGACACUCUACCAGGCACAUACAGGACCAUUCCAGAACAAUAGGGCCUAUUGGCCUGAGGUUUUUAGGAAGACAAAACACUGAUUACUGUACCUCUCUCCUGCUCUCCAGCUUACCUGAGCUGUCUCUGAAUUACAUUAGCAUGGGAUCUGCGCCCUGUGGUUCUGUGCUAUCCUUCCAGUUUCUCCAUGUUUGGACAGGAAAGAUGCUCAUCCAUAUGCUUGUCUUUCCCAAAUUCCUCAUAGAUUGGGUCAAGUUAGAGUCCAGUUUAGAUGUAGUUUUCAUUUCUGUUAGAGGAAAAGUACAAUAGAGCUGUCAGUGUCCCAACCAUGGAACGAAAUGUGUUGGCUGACAGUACAGCCAGCUGAGUUUGUGAUGUCACAAUGGAGGAGAGUCCUCUGGCCAGCUACUGGUUGGCUGUGGAAUUGGACAGAGCUGAUAUGACAUCACAGAAACUAAACUGGCCAUUUGUUACACCAUUAUUGCAAUCUUGUGGUAGGGAAACUUAGAUUAUGCAAAUGUCUGCAUAAUCUUAUAAUCUUAAAGUUUGUGACCUGUGUGUUCACAUUAUGUGAUUGCUAACAUUGUGAGCUGUCUAGAUCCCUCCCUGUCUUACAAUCUCCAGAUGUCAUGGACCGCCUCCUACUGGGGCUGCAGAAGAGCAACAGAGAACAAGUUGCUAGUUGCACUGUUGGCACUCCACCAGGGUGAAAAUGUAACGUUCACAUGCUCACUACAUGUGACCUUAUGUCUUGGUCAAAGCCUACAGUGUUUUGUGAAUUAGCUGCAAUCACAGAAAUGUGUCGUGACUCACAGCAUUUUGAAUAGCAUUUGUUUAGGAAGAGUAAACGCUGUUAAUAAUGCUCCUGUUGUCUUUUUCCAGGCCAGAUGGUGUGAAAAUAUUUUAAAUAAACCUUGUUACGUGAAAAAAAAUCACAAAGGUUUUGCUAGUACAUUUCAUGUUCUUAACCUUUCUGUGAUAUAUCUGUAUGCCUAGUAGAACACGAUUCACAGAAUAUACUUGAAUUUUGAUUUGUUUGACAUUUUAUUGGUUUCAACAUGAUUCCAUAUGUGUUAUUUUAUAGUUUUGCUGUUUC
This is a long non-coding RNA of Esox lucius (northern pike), 1219 nucleotides long. The record is from Ensembl. NCBI's taxonomy places the organism in Eukaryota, Metazoa, Chordata, Actinopteri, Esociformes, Esocidae.